AUUGAACGCUGGCGGCAUGCCUUACACAUGCAAGUCGAACGGCAGCGCGGGCUUCGGCCUGGGCGGCGAGUGGCGAACGGGUGAGUAAUACAUCGGAACGUGCCCAGUAGUGGGGGAUAGCUCGGCGAAAGCCGGAUUAAUACCGCAUACGACCUGAGGGUGAAAGCGGGGGAUCUUCGGACCUCGCGCUAUUGGAGCGGCCGAUGGCAGAUUAGCUGGGUUGGUGGGGUAAAGGCCUACCAAGGCCGACGAUCUGUAGCUGGUCUGAGAGGACGACCAGCCACACUGGGACUGAGACACGGCCCAGACUCCUACGGGAGGCAGCAGUGGGGAAUUUUGGACAAUGGGCGCAAGCCUGAUCCAGCAAUGCCGCGUGUGUGAUGAAGGCCUCGGUUGUAAGU
This 401-nucleotide ribosomal RNA is filed under the name uncultured bacterium. Its description in RNAcentral is "bacterial SSU rRNA". It matches the Rfam family "Bacterial small subunit ribosomal RNA", at positions 28 to 430 of the family's 1533-position model. The record is from RNAcentral.